RNAcentral lists this ribosomal RNA (492 nucleotides) under uncultured bacterium. RNAcentral describes it as "bacterial SSU rRNA". It matches the Rfam family "Bacterial small subunit ribosomal RNA", at positions 903 to 1397 of the family's 1533-position model. The record is from RNAcentral.
AAAUGAAUAGACGGGGGCCCGCACAAGCGGAGGAACAUGUGGUUUAAUUCGAUGAUACGCGAGGAACCUUACCCGGGCUCGAACGGUGCAUGAAUAUAUGAGAGAUUGUAUAGUCUUCGGACAUGCAUCGAGGUGCUGCAUGGUUGUCGUCAGCUCGUGCCGUGAGGUGUCGGCUUAAGUGCCAUAACGAGCGCAACCCUUGUCAUUAGUUGCCAUCAGGUUAUGCUGGGGACUUUAAUGAGACUGCCACCGUAAGGUGUGAGGAAGGUGGGGAUGACGUCAAAUCAGCACGGCCCUUAUGUCCGGGGCGACACACGUGUUACAAUGGGAGGUACAGAGGGCAGCCAUCCGGCGACGGAGCGCUAAUCUCGAAAACCUUUCUCAGUUCGGAUUGGAGUCUGCAACUCGACUCCAUGAAGGUGGAUUCGCUAGUAAUCGCGCAUCAGCCAUGGCGCGGUGAAUACGUUCCCGGGCCUUGUACACACCGCCCGU